This 185-nucleotide ribosomal RNA is filed under the name uncultured Prevotellaceae bacterium. Its description in RNAcentral is "partial 16S ribosomal RNA". It matches the Rfam family "Bacterial small subunit ribosomal RNA", at positions 338 to 520 of the family's 1533-position model. The record is from RNAcentral. Lineage: Bacteria; Pseudomonadati; Bacteroidota; Bacteroidia; Bacteroidales; Prevotellaceae.
CCUAGGGGAGGCAGCAGUGAGGAAUAUUGGUCAAUGGGCGGAAGCCUGAACCAGCCAAGUAGCGUGCAGGAUGACGGCCCUAUGGGUUGUAAACUGCCUUUAUACAGGAAUAAAGUUAGCCACGUGUGGUUAUUUGUAGGUACUGUAUGAAUAAGGACCGGCUAAUUCCGUGCCAGCAGCCGCGG